Molecule: long non-coding RNA, 2493 nt
Organism: Taeniopygia guttata (zebra finch)
Lineage: Eukaryota; Metazoa; Chordata; Aves; Passeriformes; Estrildidae
Source: Ensembl
UCCACAAGUGUCCCCAGGUGUGUCCCUACCCCCCACGUGAGUUCCCAGGUGGCCCCAGGUGUGCCCAGGUGUGCCCAGGUGUGUCCCCACCCCCCAGAUGUGCCCAGAUGAAUCCCCAGGUGUGCCCAGGUGUGUUUCCACCCCCAAGGUGUGCCCAGGUCAGUCCCCAGGUGUGCCCACGUGUACCCCCAGGUGUGUCCCCACCCCCAGGUGUGCCCAGAUGAAUCCCCAGGUGUUUCCCCAGGUGUUUCCCCAGGUGUGCCCAGGUGUACACCCAGGUGUGCCACUACCCCCAGGUGUGCCCAGGUGUGCCCCCAGCUGUCCCCCCCCCAGUUUCCCGCAGGUGCUCACCAGGUGUGGCUCCAGGGGGUACCUGUCGGGCUGGCGCCGGUGCCGCUCCAGGUCGGCGCGGCUCAGGCAGACGUCGGCGCGGUGGCGGCAGAAGGAGCGGCAGGUGAGGCAGGUGCCCCCCCCGAGGGCGGUGCCCACGAACAGCGGGCGGCAGCGCUGGCACUGCGGGCCCUGCAGGUGUGCACAGGUGUGUUACAGGUGUGCACAGGUGUGGUACAGGUAACCCCACCUGGCACCCAGGUAACCCCACCUGGCACCCACCUGGCACCCAGGUAACACACCUGGCACCCGGGUAACACACCUGGCACCCAGGUAACCCCACCUGGGCACACCUGGCACCCAGGUAACACACCUGGCACCCAGCUAACCCCACCUGGCACACCUGGCACCCAGGUAAUCCACCUGGCACUCACCUGGCACCCAGGUAACACACCUGGCACACCUGGCACCCAGGUAACCCCACCUGGCACCCGGGUAACACACCUGGCACCCAGGUAACACACCUGGCACCCAGGUAACCCCACCUGGCACACCUGGCACCCAGGUAAUCCACCUGGCACUCACCUGGCACCCAGGUAACACACCUGGCACACCUGGCACCCAGGUAACCCCACCUGGCACCCAGGUAACACACCUGGCACCCAGGUAACCCCACCUGGCACCCAGGUAACCCCACCUGGCACCCAGGUAACUCACCUGGCACCCAGGUAACACACCUGGCACCCAGGUAACACACCUGGCACUCACCUGGCACCCCGGUAACCCCACCUGGGCACACCUGGCACCCAGGUAACCCCAGCUAGGCACACCUGGCACCCAGGUAACCCCACCUGGGCACACCUGGCACCCAGGUAACACACCUAACACCCAGGUAACCUCACCUGGCACCCAGGUAACCCCACCUGGCACUCACCUGGCACCCAGGUAACACACCUGGCACCCAGGUAACCCCACCUGGCACCCAGGUAACCCUCCUGGCACGCAGGUAACACACCUGGCACCCAGGUAACCCCACCCAGGUAACUCACCUGGCACCCAGGUAACACACCUGGCACCCAGGUAACCCCACCUGGCACCCAGGUAACACACCUGGCACCCAGGUAACUCACCUGGCACCCAGGUAACACACCUGGCACCCAGGUAACCUCACCUGGCACCCAGGUAACACACCUGGCACCCAGGUAACACACCUGGCACACCUGGCACUCACCUGGGUGUUGUUGUGGCACUGCAGACAGGUGUCUGUUGCAUGCGGCCUGGCGCAGUCGCUGUGCCCGUUGCAGGCGCAGGUGACGCCGCAGUCGGGCACCCACCCAGGUAACACACCUGUGCCCAGGUAACACACCUGGCACCCAGGUAACACACCAGGUAACACACCUGUGCCCAGGUAACACUCACCUGGGUGUUGUUGUGGCACUGCAGACAGGUGUCUGUUGCACGCGGCCUGGCGCAGUCGCUGUGCCCGUUGCAGGCGCAGGUAACGCCGCAGUCGGGUACCCACCCAGGUAACACACCUGGGCACACCUGGCACUCACCUGGGUGUUGUUGUGGCACUGCAGACAGGUGUCGGUGGCGCGGGGCCCGGCGCAGUCGCUGUGCCCGUUGCAGGCGCAGGUAACGCCGCAGUCGGGCACCCACCCAGGUAACACACCUGUGCCCAGGUACCACUCACCUGGGUGUUGUUGUGGCACUGCAGACAGGUGUCCGUUGCAUGCGGCCCGGCGCAGUCGCUGUGCCCGCCCAGGUAACACACCUGGCACCCAGGUAACACACCUGGCACUCACCUGUGCCCAGGUAACACUCACCUGGGUGUUGUUGUGGCACUGCAGACAGGUGUCGGUUGCAUGCGGCCCGGCGCAGUCGCUGUGCCCACCCAGGUAACACACCUGGGCACACCUGGCACCCAGGUAACACUCACCUGGGCACACCUGGCACUCACCUGGGCACACCUGGCACUCACCUGGGUGUUGUUGUGGCACUGCAGACAGGUGUCCGUUGCAUGCGGCCCGGCGCAGUCGCUGUGCCCGUUGCAGGCGCAGGUAACUCACCUGGCACCCAGGUAACACACCUGUGCCCAGGUAACACUCACCUGGGUGUUGUUGUGGCACUGCAGACAGGUGUCGGUGGCACGGGGCCCGGCGC